AAGAAAUAUCAUUUCUUUUUCAUAAUUUGAUCAUUCCAGUACAUAAUAUAGCUUUGAAGUUUGAUAUUUCUCUUCCGUGUUGUAAAAAGAGAUACUAAAAAACAUAAUUUGACACUAUGAUUAAGAGUAUACAGACGUGAAGCAAUGCACUUCAGCUUACAUUAUAUUUAUCUUCAGACAGCUACUGCAGGAAAUUGACAGGCACAAGUUUGAGAGCUUCCUUCUUGGAUACGGUGAGACUAGGAACAGCUUUUUCUUCCAUGUUGAUUCCUUCAACUCUAUUUGGCAGUUUCCAAUCAAAAUAAUAUAAUAAAUUUGCAAGCACAAGCUCCACUGAUAUAGUUCCCAUAUUUAGUGCAGGGCAACCUCUUCUACCAGCUCCAAAUGGCAAAAACUCAAAAUUUUGUCCUGUAAAUUCAAUGGAACUAUC
RNAcentral lists this unclassified non-coding RNA (430 nucleotides) under Hevea brasiliensis (rubber tree). The record is from RNAcentral. Lineage: Eukaryota; Viridiplantae; Streptophyta; Magnoliopsida; Malpighiales; Euphorbiaceae.